AGAGUUUGAUCAUGGCUCAGAACGAACGCUGGCGGCAGGCCUAACACAUGCAAGUCGAGCGCCCCGCAAGGGGAGCGGCGGACGGGUGAGUAACACGUGGGAAUUUUCCUCAAGGUACGGAACAACUCAGGGAAACUUGGGCUAAUACCGUAUGAUGCAGAGAUGCCAAAGAUUUAUCGCCUUGGGAUAAGCCCGCGUCAGAUUAGGUAGUUGGUGAGGUAAUGGCCUACCAAGCCUGUGAUCUGUAGCUGGUCUGAGAGGACGAUCAGCCACAUUGGGACUGAGACACGGCCCAAACUCCUACGGGAGGCAGCAGUGGGGAAUCUUGCGCAAUGGGCGAAAGCCUGACGCAGCCAUGCCGCGUGAAUGAUGAAGGUCUUAGGAUUGUAAAGUUCUUUCGCCCGUGACGAUGAUGACGGUAACGGGAGAAGAAGCCCCGGCUAACUUCGUGCCAGCAGCCGCGGUAAUACGAAGGGGGCUAGCGUUGUUCGGAAUUACUGGGCGUAAAGCGCGCGUAGGCGGUUUUGCAAGCCAGAGGUGAAAUGCCCGAGCUCAACUUGGGAAUUGCCUUUGGGACUGUGAGGCUUUGAGGACGAGAGAGGUGAGUGGAAUUCCCAGUGUAGAGGUGAAAUUCGUAGAUAUUGGGAAGAACACCGGUGGCGAAGGCGGCUCACUGGCUCGUUUCUGACGCUAAAGCGCGAAAGCGUGGGGAUCAACAGGAUUAGAUACCCUGGUAGUCCACGCUGUAAACGAUGAGUGCUAGGCGUCGGCAGGCUUGCCUGUCGGUGCCGCAGCUAACG
RNAcentral lists this ribosomal RNA (800 nucleotides) under uncultured bacterium. RNAcentral's name for it is "bacterial SSU rRNA". It matches the Rfam family "Bacterial small subunit ribosomal RNA", at positions 8 to 857 of the family's 1533-position model. The record is from RNAcentral.